This 515-nucleotide ribosomal RNA is filed under the name Aerococcus viridans. RNAcentral's name for it is "bacterial SSU rRNA". It matches the Rfam family "Bacterial small subunit ribosomal RNA", at positions 8 to 505 of the family's 1533-position model. Lineage: Bacteria; Bacillati; Bacillota; Bacilli; Lactobacillales; Aerococcaceae. The record is from RNAcentral.
AGAGUUUGAUCCUGGCUCAGGACGAACGCUGGCGGCAUGCCUAAUACAUGCAAGUCGAGCGAACAGAUGAAGUGCUUGCACUUCUGACGUUAGCGGCGAACGGGUGAGUAACACGUAAGGAAUCUACCUAUAAGCGGGGGAUAACAUUCGGAAACGGGUGCUAAUACCGCAUAAUAUCUUCUUCCGCAUGGAAGAAGAUUGAAAGACGGCUCUGCUGUCACUUAUAGAUGACCUUGCGGUGCAUUAGUUAGUUGGUGGGGUAACGGCCUACCAAGACGAUGAUGCAUAGCCGACCUGAGAGGGUGAUCGGCCACAUUGGGACUGAGACACGGCCCAAACUCCUACGGGAGGCAGCAGUAGGGAAUCUUCCGCAAUGGGCGAAAGCCUGACGGAGCAAUGCCGCGUGAGUGAAGAAGGCCUUCGGGUCGUAAAACUCUGUUAUAAGAGAAGAACAAAUUGUAGAGUAACUGCUACAGUCUUGACGGUAUCUUAUCAGAAAGCCACGGCUAACUACG